AUUGAACGCUAGCGGCAUGCUUAACACAUGCAAGUCGAACGAGUGGCGGACGGGUGAGUACUGUCUGGGAAACUGCCCGAUGGAGGGGGAUAACUACUGGAAACGGUAGCUAAUACCGCAUACUAUUAGAUGUGCCCAGAUGGGAUUAGCUAGUUGUUGGGGUAACGGAUCACCAAGGCGACGAUCCGUAGCUUGUCUGAGCGGAUGACCAGCCACACUGGAACUGAGACACGGUCCAGACUCCUACGGGCGGCAGCAGUGGGGAAUAUUGGACUAUGGGCGCAAUCCUGAUGCAGCCAUCCCGCGUGUAUGAAGAAGGCCUUCGGGUUGUAAAGUACUUUCGGCGGAGAAGCGUUACCCGCAGAAGAAGCACCGGCUAACUCCGUGCCAGCAGCCGCGGUAAUUC
This 406-nucleotide ribosomal RNA is filed under the name uncultured bacterium. RNAcentral describes it as "partial 16S ribosomal RNA". It matches the Rfam family "Bacterial small subunit ribosomal RNA", at positions 30 to 526 of the family's 1533-position model. The record is from RNAcentral.